RNAcentral lists this ribosomal RNA (353 nucleotides) under uncultured bacterium. Its description in RNAcentral is "bacterial SSU rRNA". It matches the Rfam family "Bacterial small subunit ribosomal RNA", at positions 29 to 409 of the family's 1533-position model. The record is from RNAcentral.
AACGAACGCUGGCGGCAUGCCUAACACAUGCAAGUCGAACGAGACCUUCGGGUCUAGUGGCGCACGGGUGCGUAACGCGUGGGAACCUGCCUUUAGGUUCGGAAUAACUCAGAGAAAUUUGAGCUAAUACCGGAUAAUGUCUUCGGACCAAAGAUUUAUCGCCUUUAGAUGGGCCCGCGUUGGAUUAGCUAGUUGGUGGGUAAAGGCCUACCAAGGCGACGAUCCAUAGCUGGUCUGAGAGGAUGAUCAGCCACACUGGGACUGAGACACGGCCCAGACUCCUACGGGAGGCAGCAGUGGGGAAUAUUGGGACAAUGGGCGAAAGCCUGAUCCAGCAAUGCCGCGUGAGUGAU